UUUAAAAGGGAGACGGAUUGAUUGGUGACACCACACACCUGCUCGUCUUCACGUAGGUGUUUUUCAAUCAGCUGAUGACCGCUGAUUGCUUCCUCCUCUCCCUCAUAUUUAAUCUUCAUCCAGCCAACAGUUCCGCGAUGUUACUUUGAAGAGAAGCUGCACGAGCUGUGGAACGAAAAAAAAGACGCAAAAAAAGUGCCGCUGCUUAACUACUGAAACUGUUCCGGGGAGGGAACAGUUGUGGGAGAACUUACCGCCGGGAGAACUUGUGGCGGUAAUGCACCAACCGCCAUAAAAUCUCAAAAAAGAAGGAGGGAACUUUAAAAAAAGAAGAGAAAAAAAGAGAAAACUACCGUGGCGUGACGUCAGACGCCGAAAAGGUGGUCGUGCAUCAGCUCCUGUAUAGAACCGCAGCAAGGCCGCUCCAGGAUGGCGUGUUCGACCUGGUCCAGAUUGGUGGCCUGUCCAGAAUGGAACAACCUGCUUCCUGCUCAAGGAGACCUGGUCGGACCCGCCAUAUACAAAAGUCUGAGGCUGUCAAAAAAAGAUUGAACUUCAAGAAGAUCGUCAAAUAGUAGGUGUCCUGAUUAAAUUCUGGGUGGCCGCUGUGUCCCCACUCUUUCUUCGCUGCUGUGCCUACAUCUCUCUGCAUUGUCCAACAUGACCACGCUCUUUCUAUUCUCCUGCUUUCCGUCUGUCAAAUAGCUGAGGGUUGUACAUGGAGCAUUUGCCACAGGUUGGUUUUGUAUAUUCCUGUCCACUUUAUUGGUGGUCUGAAAUCUGGUCCGUGUUGGUUAUAUUUUUGUGGAACUGCUGAGCGAGUGAUUUGAAGAAGUAGGUGACUGAUGAAGUUUUUGAAAUUCUCUCUCUGAAUGAGUGGGUUGUGUGUGACUAAAAUGCCUGGAUUGAAUAGUUAAGAUAGUCUUAGAAUAUGAUUAUGUUCAGCAGUUCACAUUACAGUUGAUAUGGUGAAAAAUUAAUGUUGUGCCUUGUACACUCUGUCACAAGGCUUAGACUUCUUGGCCUCUGUGCCUUUUUUUUUUUCUUUUUUCUUUUUUCCUUCGUGGUCAUUAAUCUACCGUUAGCCCUCGAAUGUUAAAGUAGAUCCUGGUCAUUUACAAACACUGUACCUGGCUUUGGAUGGCAGUGGUGCCAUUGCCUUUGUAUGGCCAUACGUCCCUUAAUGCAAGUAGGCCAUGAUUGCUAACUGUGCCCGCGCCUUCGUAGCCUACUUGUGUUAUUGUACGUCUGGCCUUGCGCGUAUAGUCAUUUUACAUAGGCAAACAUGGGUGCCUUCCGCGUCCAUGCACAGUAAGUGAACUAACCUGUACUUUCCUUCUAGCAUCAGUCAAGAGGAGCACCGACAUCCCUGCAUGUCCAUCUUAAUUAGAUUGCGUUUUAGUUGCGUUAAAAUUUCAAAUGGAAAAUGCAGAUUUUCUUUCUUGCUUGGCCGCCGUGCCAUUACUAUACCUGCAUCUUGAUCUUCAUGGCCACUGUGUCAUGACUGUACUUCGUCUUGGUGUUUAUGCCAGUCUAUCAUUUCUGAUCAGUUUUUACUACUAGGUUUUCCUGGUUGAGUGUGUGUGUGUGGGAUGACUGACGGACUGACCUUUGGACCAAGACUAACACUCCAAUUGACUUUACUGCACCAGAAAGGUGAACAAAAUUUAUGCUGCAAGACUGGCAAGAUGCACACCAAUUAGACAUCAAGCAAAUUCAAAUUAUUUCAAAAACAGGUAAAAUGUUUACCUUUCAGGUAAGUAUUAAAGGCCUUUGCCACAUGAUCCUUGUGGGUAAAUCGUGUCCACUCAAUUUAUAAAGUUAAUUUGCAUCUAAACAUUUACAAUGCCUGACACAUUUUUUUGUUUUGCGUUAUUGAGUGCAAAGGCCUUUAUUUACACACUGACGCAUGCCAAGACUGCCGUCAUGGCCUCUCUCUCUCUCUCUCUCUCUCUCUCUCUCUCUCUCUCUCUCUCUCUCUCUGUCUCUGUCUCUGUCUGUCCUGUGUGUCGGAUUUAGUCACAUUUUGGUCUCAACUUAAGUGGAUGAUUUUAAAGUUGAUUAGUCUUGAGGCGUCUGAUUUCAGCAGGAAAUUCUGGUACCUUAUUUUGAAAUGGCUUUAAAAUGUAAUAUUGGUCUUGAAUCUCAGGUAUCAUAGUUGCAACUUGGACUGUUGACAAACGUGGAAGCUGAUGUAUCAUGUAGUAAAUGCAUCAGUUUACUGUAGCUUGUUUAAAGUUCUUUCAAAGUGCUGUAAAAAUUUAGUAAUUGAUUAUGAUGAGCUGGACCAGGUCUUCCUUUAUUCUCAACUGGUAAUUGCUUUGAUAAGAUAACUGGUUCCUGAUUUGAUUAUGAAGCUAAACAUUUGAUUUAUAUGCAAGUGUAGUCACAUUAGAUUGUAGGUGUUAUUCAGCCCAUGGAUAAUGUUAUGAUAUACUUUAAAUCUGGCAUUUUUUGGCACACUUUUGAUAUCCAUUUAAGUCUUAAACUUUACGCACUGCCAUCAGCCUUUGUAGUCGCUAACUGAAAUCGAAUUCAAUAUUAAUGCUGACUUGUCUCACGCUGCCAAGUUUAUUUCCCUCUAAAGGAGUUGAACCUGUUUGUGUUCAUAGUCUUUUUGUGCGUCAUGUUGGGAGGCCUCCCAGCAGGGGAUUUUUAUCUUCCCCUGCAAAACUAUACGUUACUCGCCUUAGGGAUGCAGGGCUAUCUUGCAUAGUUUCUUUCAUAAAUUAGAUUGUAGGUUGCAGGAUUAGAGCGCGUUUCUUUUCUUUAGGAGGACACAAACCUGGCAGAGAGACAACUCGGAUUGUUUAAGUGAAAGUUGCGCCAAAUGUUCGAACUUUUUAUCUUUCAUUACGAUGACUUGAAAUAAAGCUUUUAUUCUGUGGGCUGAAUUAAGACAGAAAUCAGACAUAAUUUGGUUUAAUGUUAAAGACUUCUGUGCAAGUACCCUCUUUGUAGCAGGAGUGAGCAGCUGCAGCUUUUUAAUGUAUUUUUCUUUAUUUGAUUUGUUUCUUGGAUUGACUUGGUGUCUGGAGCUUUGUAGUUAACAGUGAUCAUGUAAACGUGGUCUUUUGCCUCUUAUUUUUGCGAAGCUGGCAGCUGGUUGAAAUGAUAGGACUUUAUGGCUUGCCCAAAGUGGGAUUUUUGAUAGAUCAUAGGGUUAACACCUCACCAUAUACUAGCUAUUUCAGCGAACAAGUGUCUGUAGUCUUAUUACCCAUGACUUUCUUUCAAAUUUCACAAUUUAGGCAGCUUGUAGUCAUUAGGAAGAUGCUUAAUCCCAAUCUUGGUUAGUUGGUUGCAUGAGAAACUGCUAUCUCUUAGAUGUGUUGGCGAAGUUCCUCCUCUGAUUUUUGUAGUCUUGCCCUAAAGUUUCUCUCUGCUUUAACUCUUGCUGAGCUAUGCAUUAAAUGAUUCCUCCAACUUGUCUUCAUAUAAAUUUUUUUCUCCCUGCAGCCUUCCACCACCCACUGCUGCUGUUUCAUCUGCUAAAGGUAGCCGUAUCCUGAUUCACUGCGUCUUCAUGUGUUGGGUAAGAAGUAUCAUUAGACUACUAACAAUGUAAACACCUUUUAAAUGCUUGAUCUAAUUUACCCAAAUGGUUCAUCAGUUUAGGACAGAAAAUCAUUGAAUUUGACAUUCUUGGGGUCAGUAACCUGACCUCUAAAUGUUUGGGAAACCAUGCAAAAGAUCGCAAGCUCUCUGCAUGACCCAACAGCAUUGAUGUUUGAGUUAUUUAAUUGCUCAAUUUUUAAAUCAGUCAAGAUUUUAUGAGCUGGGUCUUCUUCACACAACAGAGAACAAGGUAAAUUGAGUCGACUCGUAACAUGGUAAGGCAUUUUGUCUUUCCCCUUCUUCUCUGUGUGUGUGAGGAAAUCUGGCCACAGAUCCUGACUGAGUGGCAUACCAUGGCUGUGCAGUUUCCAAAAUCAGAUAAGGAUCCAUCUGAUUUUGUGACUCUGCCUGUCAUGAUAUGCAUGUAUCUUCCUCCGAAACAAAGGAUUGGAAUGGACAGUUUGUAGUGUAAAUCACAUCACAUCACUUGUAGAUGGUGAAGCAUUUGUUUAAAUUGGGGUCAAGCAUUUUAAGGUGUCUGCUUUGUCAAUACUCUGGUGCCACAUCUUGCUAAACACACGAGAAGCUCUGAAUUGUGAAACUGCUGCCUCUUGCAGAUGUUACAACAGCAAUGGCUGUUGAAAGGCUGCAGGGAGAGAAAAUGAGAUCUGAGGACAGGAAAGUGGAAUUUAUUUCAUGCUUAGCAAAAUGAGGGUUUCAGCAGAGGAACUUUUUGUGGCAAGGCUAUAGAAUCAGAAGGAACGUUUGUCUGGGCAACUGGGAAUUUACAGUUUUCCAUUCAGCCAACCAAGGCAUUGGGGUUAGCAUCAUCCCAAAUGGCUGACAAAGAUUGCUUGUAACUGUCAGUGUAGGACAGGAAAGGCAGGUAUAGGUUAGGGAGGGCAUCCAUCGGUGAGCUCUGACUGGAUGUGAGGACCUGUCACACUUGACCAGAGAUGAAGGCUGCAGCACGUUCCUGGAUCAGAGGACUCCAUGUUGGACACCACGAUCUGGAGAAGUCCCGUCCCGGAUGACUGCGGUGAUGACCUAGCCCAAGAUGAACCGACCCUUCUAUGACGAGGACUUCGCCCAAGAUGAACCGACCCAUCUACAACGAGGACUUCGCCCAAGAUGAACCGACCUUUUCCACCUCUUUUCCACGGGAUGUCUUCAGAUGUUGGACCUUGCCAAACUGUACACAUGCCUCAUUGGCUGCUACGUCACUCUGCCCAACAGGACAUGGUCACCAAGAUUUUUUUUUUUUUUUUUUUAAUGGACUUUAACCCCCCCUGUUCCCACUGACCCACAACCACACAUGACAAAACAGUGUACAUGUGAUGCAUCACCACACUAUAAUACAGACACUGCUAAUUUCAGCCUGUUUCAGUCAGUAAAAGAUCGCAAGCUGCAUAACCCAACAGCAUCGAUGUUUGAGUUAUUUAAUUGCUCAAUUUUUAAAUCAGUCAAGAUUUUAUGAGCUGGGUCUUCUUCACACAACAGAGAACAAGGUAAAUUGAGUCGACUCGUAACAUGGCAAGGUAUUUCUUCCUUCCCCUUCUUCUCUGUGUGUGAGGAAAUCUGGCCACAGAUCCUGACUGAGUGGCAUACCAUGGCUGUGCAGUUUCCAAAAUCAGAUAAGGAUCCAUCUGAUUUUGUGACUCUGCCUGUCAUGAUAUGCAUGUAUCUUCCUCUGAAACAAAGGAUUGGAAUGGACAGGUUUUUAGUGUAAAUCACAUCACUUGUAGAUGGUGAUGGUGUACAGACACUGCUACUUUCAGCCUGUAAUGUUUGACAUUGAAAACUUGUAAUUAUUGCCUUCUUUAUAUCAAGUAAAACUUUUGUUCUUAA
Molecule: long non-coding RNA, 5406 nt
Organism: Solea solea (common sole)
Lineage: Eukaryota; Metazoa; Chordata; Actinopteri; Pleuronectiformes; Soleidae
Exons: 5
Source: RefSeq, a predicted model, not a curated record